GUGUUUACUUGGCAGUAUACAUACUAAAACUGAAACCACAACACAGUGAUUAGCAUGGUCUCUGGGCCAGGAUGACAUAAAAAUUUGUGUAUUCCAUAUUUAUUUU
Apodemus sylvaticus (European woodmouse) is the source of this 106-nucleotide small nuclear RNA. Lineage: Eukaryota; Metazoa; Chordata; Mammalia; Rodentia; Muridae. The record is from RefSeq and is a predicted model, not a curated record.